This 73-nucleotide transfer RNA is filed under the name Gemmatimonadota bacterium. RNAcentral's name for it is "Gemmatimonadetes bacterium (beach sand metagenome) tRNA-Lys". It matches the Rfam family "tRNA". Rfam says of the family: Transfer RNA (tRNA) molecules are approximately 80 nucleotides in length. Lineage: Bacteria; Pseudomonadati; Gemmatimonadota. The record is from RNAcentral.
GGGCCCUUAGCUCAAUUGGCAGAGCAACUGACUCUUAAUCAGUAGGUUGAAGGUUCGAUUCCUUCAGGGCCCA